Molecule: ribosomal RNA, 574 nt
Filed under: uncultured Phascolarctobacterium sp.
Lineage: Bacteria; Bacillati; Bacillota; Negativicutes; Acidaminococcales; Acidaminococcaceae
Description: bacterial SSU rRNA
Rfam family: Bacterial small subunit ribosomal RNA
Source: RNAcentral
UUUUAUUUCGGUAAGAUGUCAAGUGGCGAACGGGUGAGUAACACGUGGGCAACCUGCCCUUCAGACGGGGACAACAUUCCGAAAGGAGUGCUAAUACCGGAUACGCCCGCACCUACGCAUGUAGGUGCGGGGAAAGGAUGGCCUCUAUUUAUAAGCUAUCGCUGAAGGAUGGGCCUGCGUCCGAUUAGUUAGUUGGUGAGGUAACGGCCCACCAAGACGAUGAUCGGUAGCCGGUCUGAGAGGAUGAACGGCCACAUUGGGACUGAGACACGGCCCAGACUCCUACGGGAGGCAGCAGUGGGGAAUCUUCCACAAUGGACGAAAGUCUGAUGGAGCAACGCCGCGUGAGCGAUGAAGGAUUUCGGUCUGUAAAACUCUGUUGUUCAUGACGAACGUUUCCUGGGUUAAUAAUCCAGGGGAGUGACGGUAGUGAACGAGGAAGCCACGGCUAACUACGUGCCAGCAGCCGCGGUAAUACGUAGGUGGCGAGCGUUGUCCGGAAUUAUUGGGCGUAAAGAGCAUGUAGGCGGCUUUUUAAGUCGGUCGUGAAAAUGCGGGGCUUAACCCCGUAUUG